Molecule: non-coding RNA, 1066 nt
Organism: Nicotiana tabacum (common tobacco)
Lineage: Eukaryota; Viridiplantae; Streptophyta; Magnoliopsida; Solanales; Solanaceae
Source: RefSeq, a predicted model, not a curated record
AUUCGGAUUAGUCCAUUAAGCCUAGGGACCCUUCUAGACUCUUCUUUGGAACAAAAACAAAUAAAAAAGACCCUAAAGACUUAACACAAAAAGACGUAGGGACUAAUUAGCAAAAUACACAAAAUAAUAACCUAAACCUAGACUCUACAUAAAGAGAAUAUCUAAAGGGGGAGGACGCCUAAUUUUUUUGCAAAAGUAGCGCCAUUUUUUGGAAAUGUUUCGGACCCCCCCUCAACCUUAUGUAAUCUCUUCUUCGUGAAGACUAAACUUCUGCAGCCUAACACCGGAAAACACCCAUAGCUGACCCUUCUCCAUCUUCUUCUUCAACUCCUCCUCUCACCAGUCAGUGGCGAGCACGCCGGAAAACACACAGAGCUCCAUCGCCACUGCUCUUUCUUCUUCGUCUAUCACAGCUACAACAACCAUGAAACCUGCUUGAAUCCUCCGUGAAACAGUUCCUCAAAUCAGCUCCGAAAACAGAUCCAAACCCAGCGUUGAAAACACACGAGAGAAGCAGCCUCAUCUUGGCAUAGGAACAACAGCUCGAACUGUUGCUGUUUUCGCAGAGAAACAUCCUGAAACAAUUCUAAACCACCCGUUACUGUCAUGGAGUUUGCUGGUCUCGUUUUCUAGUUUAUUUCGAAUUCCGGCGAGGUUGGUGUAAUUCGAGUUUCCGGCGCCACUGAAGUUUUUCGGUCUAAGGUUCUUUUCGGUGUCUAUUCCUUGAUCCAAGUUGAAGGACGGAACUUGAUGUUGCUGUAACCAAAGGAAUUCUGCUCCUUAUCGAUCAAAUCUCAAAGAAUAUUUUGGUUCCAUUUGAGAUGCAUGUAUUUGUUCACCCGGUAGCAGGUUUUGAGCUGGUCGGAGGCUAAGUUAUCGAAGUUUAGUGAGGUGACUGCUGGCGUUCGUAGCACUGCAUUUAUUCCUUUUGUUUAUCAGUCCUAUUUUGUAUAUUUCAGGCCUUGUAGUUGUAUUUAUACUCUAAUAGAUGCUCGUGACUUGUGACACCCCGGUUUGGGCUGUGUUUGGGUUGUAUUCCGCACUUAAUAAAGAAAUCUUUUGUUUA